AGAGCUAUAUUGGCAAGCAGUAACAUGAAUUGGUCGUUGUUAUAAUGUUAUCAUUGCAGUUAGAUAAUAUUUCCGAUAUAAAAUAUUUCCGUGUGAUAAUAUUUCCGUUAGAAAAUAUUUUCGUUAGAUAACCCAACCGUUAUUAACACAGCAGUAUAAAUUAGAACAUAAAUAAUUAAAAUUGCCAUUCAACUGCAUCAAGUAGUGGUUAUCUAUUAGUCAUUUUAAAUUCUCACUUAACGAAAAACUAAAAGACCUGGAAUAUCUCAUAAUGUAUGUUGCUUCUCUGCUGCUUUGUUUUGGCUGUUGGAUUCAUUUAACACUUCAUGCACUGCACCUAAUUGACGACCAUCUAGAACCAAUCAUUUCUUCCGAGUCUCGGACAACUGAUACGUGUCUUAAUCCCAAGGCUUAUGUUGAAGGCGACCUGCUAAUGAGAGAAUUAUGUACACAGAACACAAAGUUUCAAGAAUUUAUCGUGGAACAGCUGGAAACUCGAACGUUUAUCGAGGUAAUAUCUGAAACUUAAUAUAACGUCUUUUAUGACACAAGCGGCAGUGUAGCUCAUAAUAUUGCCCAUAGAUUUGGAAACAGAAAUAAAAAUAAACACAUUCCCGAUAAAGCACCAGAACUAAACAAGUUUAGCUUUUAUCAAUUCCGACCAAGCAACAAAUUAGAUAAUCUAGAAAUCUACAAACACUUGGAAGCCACUGCUUAAAGUAGUCCAUGGAGGCGACUAUUUAUUUUAUGUCUUGGAAGUCGUCUCAGGAAAAUGGCAUUACAAAACCAAUGUAACAACAAGUUUUGCUCUAAUUAACGACGAUAUACACGCACGUUUCCUAAAUGUAAAAAUUUGGGCUGCAAAUGAAAUUGGUAUCACACAAAACUAUUCCGAAAUAUUCAUUAGGACAAGAGGUAACGCUUUUUACAACUAUUAGUUAAGAAUUAAAUGCUUGGCAAAUCAAAUUUAAACUGUUGACUGGUACACAUUUCGUAAUCGUGCUUGUGAACUGUAAAUUUAUAGAGCCACACAAAUCAAGGGCCUAUGCCGAGUUUUCUGAAACGGAAGAUGUAAACAUGUAUGUCCAGCCGAACUCCGUUGUUGGUGUGGAAAAAAUAGCAUUUCAAAUAUGCAUUUAUAUGCGACUUAGAAAAAAGAAAUAUACCUUUACCAUGGUAAAUAGUUGUUUGAUUCUGUACAUGUCUAGAGUUUAAUAUUUGUCUCCACUUUAAAAAUCAUUACAAAAGUUAUUUGUAUGUCGGCUAGGUGAGAGAACACAUGAUCUCAGGACAAAUGAUCUCAGACAAAAUAUCUCAUGGACAAAUGAUCUCAGGACAAAUGAUCUCAGGACAAAAGAUCUCAUGAGAAAAUACAUAAUGGACAAAUAAUACCAUGGUUAAAUGAUUUCAGAUAACAUAUCUCAAAGCUAAAUAUUAUUGUAUUUAGGAGGAUUUAGUCAAAUUAUCAUUUAUUUUUAA
This is a long non-coding RNA of Physella acuta, 1479 nucleotides long. RefSeq lists it as uncharacterized. The record is from RefSeq and is a predicted model, not a curated record. NCBI's taxonomy places the organism in Eukaryota, Metazoa, Mollusca, Gastropoda, Physidae.